This is a small nuclear RNA of Falco peregrinus (peregrine falcon), 111 nucleotides long. The record is from RefSeq and is a predicted model, not a curated record. Lineage: Eukaryota; Metazoa; Chordata; Aves; Falconiformes; Falconidae.
GUGAUGGAAGAGGUUAGUGCUCUCCUUGAUGAGGAUGGAAUAGACCCUGGUGGCCUCACGCAUACAGUUAAGGCACUGCCACGUACUUCAAAGCAUUUUUUGAUGUAUUGG